This 717-nucleotide long non-coding RNA is filed under the name Cyanistes caeruleus (blue tit). RNAcentral's name for it is "lncRNA (ENSCCEG00000010133.1)". The record is from RNAcentral. Lineage: Eukaryota; Metazoa; Chordata; Aves; Passeriformes; Paridae.
GCGGUGUGUGCGCCGCCGCGGGCACCGCGCGGCUCGGAGGCUGCGGGGCCAGGCGUAACCGGAGCCGCCUCCCUCGCCUCCCUCGCUGCCCCUCGGCUCCUUUGCCGCCGCUUGGGCCUGAGCGUUCCCCCAGCUCGGGAACCGCACGCUGCUCUUGCCGGAGAGGGGCAUUCAGGCCGAGUAGUUUGUGGGAAACCUGCUCGAGAGCCUGGCAGAAAAAGCAUGCUUGAGAUGUAUCUGAGUAGUGAGGCCCCCUGCAUUCACAGCCCCUAGAAAUCAUUGUCUGCAUCGCUGAGUCUUGGUGAGUUGUCUAUAUCCUAUUGCAUUUAAUUGGAUUCUGUUGCAGUUUUAUCUUCUUCACUGGGGAGUUUGAUGGGAGAUGUCUUAAAUUGAUUGUGUGGAUACAGCAGAACAAACCUUGCUUUUAAGUGACGUGUGAUACUGUACUCUGAGUGGAAAUACUAAUGUUUUAGAAGCUUUGAAAAUAAUGGUGAGACUGGUUAUGGAAGCAGAGGGUCCUUGCUUUGGUGCCAGGACCAGGAAUGUGGCUUUAUGCUGAGAAAGAAUAUGUUGAUCCCUUCAGCCUUUCUCAUUAGGUUUGUUUGAUAUUUUAUACUGUAACUAAGGAAUUGACAUCUUUCAGAUGUGCUGAUUAUGGUCUGUCUUAUGGCAAAGGUUGAAUAUGAAAUAAUACAAGCUUUUCUAUCCAACUCUGUG